RNAcentral lists this ribosomal RNA (1145 nucleotides) under uncultured cyanobacterium. RNAcentral describes it as "bacterial SSU rRNA". It matches the Rfam family "Bacterial small subunit ribosomal RNA", at positions 377 to 1533 of the family's 1533-position model. Lineage: Bacteria; Bacillati; Cyanobacteriota. The record is from RNAcentral.
CGAAGCCUGACGGAGCAAUACCGCGUGAGGGAAGAAGGCUUUUGGGUUGUAAACCUCCUUUGUCAGGGAAGAAGAAUUGACGGUACCUGAAGAAAAAGCAUCGGCUAACUCCGUGCCAGCAGCCGCGGUAAUACGGAGGAUGCAAGCGUUAUCCGGAAUCAUUGGGCGUAAAGGGUCCGCAGGUGGCGAAUAAAGUCUGCUGUUAAAGACCGGGGCUAAACUCCGGAAAGGCAGUGGAAACUGAUUAGCUAGAGUACGGUAGGGGUAGAGGGAAUUCCCAGUGUAGCGGUGAAAUGCGUAGAUAUUGGGAAGAACACCGGUGGCGAAAGCGCUCUACUAGGCCGAGACUGACACUGAGGGACGAAAGCUAGGGUAGCGAAAGGGAUUAGAUACCCCUGUAGUCUUAGCUGUAAACGAUGGAUACUAGGCGUAGCUUGUAUCGACCCGAGCUGUGCCGAAGCUAACGCGAUAAGUAUCCCGCCUGGGGAGUACGCACGCAAGCGUGAAACUCAAAGGAAUUGACGGGGGCCCGCACAAGCGGUGGAGUAUGAGGUUUAAUUCGAUGCAACGCGAAGAACCUUACCAGGGCUUGACAUGUCGCGAAUCUGGCGGAAACGUUAGAGUGCCUUAGGGAACGCGAACACAGGUGGUGCAUGGCUGUCGUCAGCUCGUGUCGUGAGAUGUUGGGUUAAGUCCCGCAACGAGCGCAACCCUCGUCCUUAGUUGCCAAUAUUAAGUUAGGCACUCUAGGGUGACUGCCGGGGACAACUCGGAGGAAGGUGGGGAUGACGUCAAGUCAGCAUGCCCCUUACGUCCUGGGCGACACACGUACUACAAUGGUUGGGACAAAGGGCAGCAAGCUCGCGAGAGUAAGCGAAUCUCAUCAAACCCAGCCACAGUUCAGAUUGCAGGCUGCAACUCGCCUGCAUGAAGUAGGAAUCGCUAGUAAUCGCAGGUCAGCAUACUGCGGUGAAUUCGUUCCCGGGCCUUGUACACACCGCCCGUCACACCAUGGAAGCUGGCUACGCCCGAAGUCGUUACCCUAACCCGGUUUUGGGAGGGGGAUGCCGAAGGUAGAGCUAGUGACUGGGGUGAAGUCGUAACAAGGUAGCCGUACCGGAAGGUGUGGCUGGAUCACCUCCUUU